Felis catus (domestic cat) is the source of this 1297-nucleotide long non-coding RNA. RefSeq lists it as uncharacterized. Lineage: Eukaryota; Metazoa; Chordata; Mammalia; Carnivora; Felidae. The transcript is spliced from 3 exons. The record is from RefSeq and is a predicted model, not a curated record.
GGUUGGUUUGUUUAUGUCAGGAAUCAGGUUCCAAACAAGGUCCAGAUGUUCAUAUGGUUGUUUGUCUCAAGUCUCUGUAAUUUGUAACUGUCUCCUUUCCCUUCAUCGUUCUAUUCCAUGCCUCCGGGAUGCUGCAGCGACUGAUCAUUUGUCCUGUCUAUUGUCUCACGUGCUGACCUUGUCCAAGGACCCAGUAGUUUCUUGAGUGCUGUCCUCCGGGUCCCUGAGGGUCUCUACACGAAGGUCAGGGGCUGGGCCACACGAGAAGUUCUUUAAAGUAACAUGGCCUUGUCAUAGCAUGACUUCUCAUCACGUUCUUCGGGAAGACAGAGAGCACAUUUGCAAGAUGUCACUGCUCUGGGGCAAUGUUUGUCAGUGACACAAGAGAGUCUGCAUGCUUUAGUUAUGAGCCAAGUGAGAGAACAAUACCCUGAUUAUUGAAUCAUCUGGGCAUAAAACUUAUUUUUUGUAAAUCAUGUUAAAAUGUGCUUAUCAUAGAUGGCAGGAAACAACACAGAAGCGCGUUAUCAUCAUCCUUGUUGCUAAAGAUGACCAUUGUGCGCUGUGCACUGUUCAAGUGUUCCUCAUGUGUCAAUUUACUGCAUCCUCACCCUGUGAAGGUGCCACCACUAUCCCCUUUCACAGCUGAGGAAACUGAGGCAUAAGAAGAUUAAGUAACUGUAAAACAAGUCUGUACGAUAUUUCCUCUAAGCUCGUGAAGAAUUUGUGUAGAAAACCAGCAGCAGUUCGUCAAGCCUGCAUCAUCGAUGGUAAAGGACCAGAAUGCACAGAAUGCCCCAACCAAAGUUAGGAGCAACUUGGGACCACCCAGCAUGAAGUGAUGUGCUGACAGAUUGGCUGGAUUUAGUAUGGGCAGACCCAGGUGGGCUGCAGGUGAGGAACAGCCCGGGGUGAGCAGGUAACUUGAGAGAGCACCAUCAGAGGGAAGAAGUUUAAAAAGGACAAGUCCCCAUGGCACACAGUGAACAUGAACUUGGUGCCUGGUCAUUGCUCUUGACGUCUGGUUGAGAACUAGUCAUUGAACAUGCACUCUAGCAGAACCGUCAUGCAAGCAGGCACCUUGGAUUAAAUGAGCUUCAUUCAAGAAAAUAACUUCAUUGGGCUCGGACAGUGAUGCAGAAGGGACAUGGAGAGCACGUAUCGUUAGGGUGUGUGUACGUAAGCUCUCCUUGAGGAGGUGCUUUUGAAAACACUGAGUUGACUUUAACUGUGAUAUUCAACUGAAUGUCUCCAAAUUGUGCUGCCUCCCCAGGGCAUUAAAAAAAUCCAUUCAUAA